UACGUAGGGGCCUAGCGUUGUCCGGAAUUAUUGGGCGUAAAGAGCUCGUAGGCGGUUCGGCAAGUCGGAUGUGAAAUCUCCACGCUUAACGUGGAGGGGCCAUUCGAAACUGCUGUGACUCGAGUCCGGUAGGGGAGUGUGGAAUUCCCGGUGUAGCGGUGAAAUGCGCAGAUAUCGGGAGGAACACCAGUAGCGAAGGCGGCAUCCUGGACCGGUAUUGACGCUGAGGAGCGAAAGCCAGGGGAGCAAACGGG
This 254-nucleotide ribosomal RNA is filed under the name uncultured bacterium. RNAcentral's name for it is "partial 16S ribosomal RNA". It matches the Rfam family "Bacterial small subunit ribosomal RNA", at positions 524 to 776 of the family's 1533-position model. The record is from RNAcentral.